Molecule: unclassified non-coding RNA, 630 nt
Filed under: Hevea brasiliensis (rubber tree)
Lineage: Eukaryota; Viridiplantae; Streptophyta; Magnoliopsida; Malpighiales; Euphorbiaceae
Source: RNAcentral
AAUUCCAUAAACAAAACCCUGAGCCUUACAGACUUCCAUCAUCUUCAACAUGUACUUCAAGAUCCCAUCUUGAGCCCUGGACAUCUUCUUCCUCCUAGCUUGCUCCUGAGACUGGCGUUGUUUGACAGCAUCAACACCUUCCUUGCCCUUGCUCAUUUCUUUCAGCCUUUUCAGCUUCAUCUUGUCCCUCCACACUCUCUUCUCUAGCUCAUCCACAUCAAUAUCCUCAUCACUAUAAUCAUCAUCCACCACCUGCUCUGCCUCAGUCUGUGGAGCAGCCACCUCCACUUCCUUAAGCGGCGCAGGAAAGAAAUCAAGAUCCCCACAGAACCCCAUUUCCUCAAACAUCAUCAUCUUCACAAGAACAAACUCCUCCAAAAAACUAAUCACCAAACGUCAAGAAAUCUAAACAGAACUAGCAGCUAACACCCAAUUUUUUCACAGAUUAUCCUGUCCUUUCUCAACACUCAUCAAUCCAAAUUACGCGAUAUUUAAUCCUGAAUUUAUGAUAUUUGAAAAAAGUUGAUUAAACUCUUUUUCUCUACUUAGGAGAAUAAUAAUUUGACCAUUUUUUAAGAGACUAUAUGGAAACAGAGAAGAAAGAUAAGUAAGAAAUAGAGAAGAAAGGGU